This 144-nucleotide ribosomal RNA is filed under the name Schizothyrium pomi. RNAcentral's name for it is "5.8S ribosomal RNA". It matches the Rfam family "5.8S ribosomal RNA". Rfam says of the family: 5.8S ribosomal RNA (5.8S rRNA) is a component of the large subunit of the eukaryotic ribosome. It is transcribed by RNA polymerase I as part of the 45S precursor that also contains 18S and 28S rRNA. Lineage: Eukaryota; Fungi; Ascomycota; Dothideomycetes; Mycosphaerellales; Schizothyriaceae. The record is from RNAcentral.
AAACUUUCAACAACGGAUCUCUUGGUUCUGGCAUCGAUGAAGAACGCAGCGAAAUGCGAUAAGUAAUGUGAAUUGCAGAAUUCAGUGAAUCAUCGAAUCUUUGAACGCACAUUGCGCCCUCUGGUAUUCCGGGGGGCAUGCCCG